RNAcentral lists this ribosomal RNA (429 nucleotides) under Gemmatimonadota bacterium. Its description in RNAcentral is "Gemmatimonadetes bacterium partial 16S ribosomal RNA". It matches the Rfam family "Bacterial small subunit ribosomal RNA", at positions 355 to 776 of the family's 1533-position model. The record is from RNAcentral. Lineage: Bacteria; Pseudomonadati; Gemmatimonadota.
UAGGGAAUCUUCGGCAAUGGACGAAAGUCUGACCGAGCAACGCCGCGUGAGUGAAGAAGGUUUUCGGAUCGUAAAACUCUGUUGUUAGAGAAGAACAAGGACGUUAGUAACUGAACGUCCCCUGACGGUAUCUAACCAGAAAGCCACGGCUAACUACGUGCCAGCAGCCGCGGUAAUACGUAGGUGGCAAGCGUUGUCCGGAUUUAUUGGGCGUAAAGCGAGCGCAGGCGGUUUCUUAAGUCUGAUGUGAAAGCCCCCGGCUCAACCUGAGAGGUUCAUUGGAAACUGGGAUACUUGAGUGCAGAAGAGGAGAGUGGAAUUCCAUGUGUAGCGGUGAAAUGCGUAGAUAUAUGGGGGAACACCAGUGGCGAAGGCGGCUCUCUAGUCUGUAACUGACGCUGAGGCUCGAAAGCGUGGGGAGCAAACAGG